This 83-nucleotide small nucleolar RNA is filed under the name Drosophila ananassae. RNAcentral describes it as "snoRNA:GF26153". Lineage: Eukaryota; Metazoa; Arthropoda; Insecta; Diptera; Drosophilidae. The record is from RNAcentral.
CUCAAUGAUGUUAACCCUGUUUUGAUUUUGUUUUUCAACGAAAACAUGAAAUUAUAAUUUCUUAUUCGUCACUACCUCUGAGU